AUUGAACGCUGGCGGCAGGCCUAACACAUGCAAGUCGAACGAGUGGCGGACGGGUGAGUAAUGUCUGGGAAACUGCCUGACGGAGGGGGAUAACGAGUGGAAACGGUAGCUAAUACCGCAUACCAUCAGAUGUGCCCAGAGGGGAUUAGCUAGGUGGUGGGGUAACGGCUCACCAAGGCGACGAUCCCUCGCUGGUCUGAGAGGAUGACCAGCCACACUGGAACUGAGACACGGCCCAGACUCCUACGGGAGGCAGCAGUGGGGAAUAUUGCGCAAUGGACGCAAGCCUGAUACAGCAAUGCCGCGUGUAUGAAGAAGGCCUUCGGGUUGUAAAGUACUUUCGGCAGGGAGGCGUUACCCGCAGAGAAAGCAACGGCUAACUCCGUGCCAGCAGCCGCGGUAAUAC
This 406-nucleotide ribosomal RNA is filed under the name uncultured bacterium. RNAcentral's name for it is "partial 16S ribosomal RNA". It matches the Rfam family "Bacterial small subunit ribosomal RNA", at positions 29 to 526 of the family's 1533-position model. The record is from RNAcentral.